ACAUGUGGGUAUCUACCCUUUGGCCUGGAAUAACACGAGGAAACUUGUGCUAAUACUGGAUAAGUCUUUACGGAGAAAGCUUUAUGCACCAUUGGAUGAGCCCGCACUUGAUUAGUUUGUUGGUGGGGUAAUGGCCUACCAAGACUGUGAUCAAUAGCUGAUUUGAGAGGAUGAUCAGCCACAUUGGGACUGAGACACGGCCCAAACUCCUACGGGAGGCAGCAGUGGGGAAUCUUGCACAAUGGAGGAAACUCUGAUGCAGCGAUGCCGCGUGAGUGAAGAAGGCCCUUGGGUUGUAAAGCUAUUUCGUCGGGGAAGAAAAUGACUGUACCCG
This 334-nucleotide ribosomal RNA is filed under the name uncultured bacterium. RNAcentral's name for it is "bacterial SSU rRNA". It matches the Rfam family "Bacterial small subunit ribosomal RNA", at positions 113 to 481 of the family's 1533-position model. The record is from RNAcentral.